GGAAAUAACUUACUGGAUAUUCUGGGCAACCACGAAAUGGGCCAAAGCAGUGAAAUCAGCCCUGAAUUCGAUGUGGGAAAUAUGGUUGUUGAGGUGAUCUUCCUGAACAGGUGGUGCAGGCUGAUCCCUAUUUCUUCUUCCGUUGUUUCUCUUGGGAGACAUUUUCUAUAAGUAAAUGAAGGAUGAGUUAUAAAAAGGGAAUUCAAUAGAUCUCAUGCUCUUUUGCACAACAUGAAUAUUGAAAAAAGAGAAAGUUUUUCUUAAAUGUCUCGCAACCUCUGGCCUAUAAGUGUGGCACGCUCAUACCCAUGCAUAAGACUCUACUCAAUGUGACUUCAGAUGCCCUAAGACACUUUAAAAAUUUAGGCUCUGAUACAAAGUUUUGUCACAACCUGAUGCUACCCCCUAGUUGCGACACGGUGCUUAUGGUCACAAGUGACACCAAGCUAACUCAUGAUCUAGUACCUAAUGUGAGCACUAGAUAAAAAAUAAUGAAAUAACAUGUGCGAAAGAUAAAACAAUACUAACAUACCCGAACAACUGACAAGGAAACUGAAACAAGUCUAAAAGUUUGAACACUAAAGUGACUAUCUGUCUGAAAGCUUCUAAAAUCAUAAGGAGUUGAUGUUACAAACCCCCAACUAACUUCGAUUGAUUGAACAUAAUGAAGUACUGAAACAACUGUAAUAUCAUGUCAUGUCCUCAAUGGAUAAGGACUCACCAUUACUGCUGCUGGAAAAUAUUGAACUAUAUAAGGAUGGUUGGGGAACUGAGCGCCUGAACCUAUGUUAUAAGACAAUAUAGCGCGAAAGAAAAGUAUGUGAUCAGUACUUUAAAUGUACUGGUACGUGAGGUAAGGAUUGAAUAAAAUACAUAUGGAAUUGAACAUGGAUGCAUGAUCAUGUGAAAACUGAGAAAGUAAUGCAUGACCUGAAUAAAUCUAAAAAACUGCCUGACUAAAUAACUGAAAAUCUGACUACUUAGUCAAGCAAACCUGAACUGAUAUAUACUGAAACUGUGAGAGGUAUCAUGUAACCGACAUGCCCCAAUUUGAGUUAAUCAGGGUCUAUCUUGUAACCCUAAUUGAAAGGGUGUCAGUACCUUGCCACGAGUACUAACACAUGAUUGUGUGGAUCCACUAAUCUAUUGUCCUAAAGGACCAGGGUGUUAAGCCUAAAGUGACAGGUGACUACUAAGAAGAAGUCAACCCUGAACCAAUGGGUGAUCCGUCAUAACCUAUGCUCGUUACAUAGUUCUGGAACUUAGGGAUUGCUACUAAUGACUCUACCUAAACUGGCGGGGGAGCUGUCAUCCCUGUGUUCACUUGGUGCUAAAUCCUACUCCUAAGUGAACUGACACUAGUAUUAUUUUUUUUUAACAUAACGUGGUAUUAUACUGAUAAGUGCUCAGCAUGAACAUGAUAUUCUGAAUAUAGUAAUGAAAUUAUGGUAUGAAUAACUUGUAACUUGAAAAUAAAGACACGUGUAAGCGGAUAGGUAUCGGGUGGUCAUAACCCUCCAACACUAAAUGAUCACAAAAUACCAUAACAACUCUUAAAACAAUGAUAUAAAGUCAUAGUUUAAAGACCCAAAAUAGAAAAAAGUCAUCAUUUCCACCCUACAUUAUACCUGAAAAGUCGAAAACACACUUAAACUAUUAAAGUGACGUAAUACAUACCUAAACUAUUUAAAAGUGAAUCUUUUUACACCCUAACACACGUACAACCAGUCUCAUGCUGGGAGGUGUUCUGCACUCGCCACACGUCAUCAAUAUGUCACUGUCACGUCAGAUAUUAUGUGAAAAUUAUAAUAAAUAAAUUUCAUGCCACUAUUAUUGCUUCUUCCUCACUAUACAUCAUCAAUUCACCAUUGAAGAACCACCAUUGAGGCUAUUAUCACCCACAUCUCCAUCACAAUUAUUUUCACAAAAUACCAUCAAAUUCAACGUUACACCCAAAUAUUCUUACUAUUAAAAUCCGCAACAACGUUUUUACUAGAUUUUUAUUUUUACCAUAAUUGUUGAUCUUUCAUGGGAGACAACUCGUUCAUAUUUAUUUUUCUUCUUUUGUUAAUAACUUAUUUAUUUUUGUUUCAUCACUAUCAAAAACACACAAAUUUACUUAACAACUCCCAUUUCACUAUAAUAAUGCUAAAAAAGUUCAAAUUUUUACAAGAGAAAUUUAAGAUGACCCACAAAAAAUCGAAAUCAAAAGUCGCAUAUUAGUUUUCUUCACAAUAUCCACAACCAUUGUUAUUAUCGAAAUUUACAACAACAAUCACCAUGAACUUUUGCAUACACCAUCAAAAUCACAACAUUAUCAUUGUCAAUCAUCAAAAAUAAAAACAUAUCCACUAUUCAUUUUUUCAUCAAUCACCAACUUCACCACUAAAUUGUGAAGAAUAAGUACUCAAUUAAUGAGAAAAAUAGAUCUAACGAAGUAAAAUGUUUGUGAUAAAAAAAAUGAAGAAGAGGAAAGGGACAAAAUGAAAAAAAAAAAAAGAACAAGAGAGGUUGCCACUGAUGGAGAGGAGGCUAUGCAUUUUUUUUUCUUUUUUUUUUCCUUUUCUGUUUUGGUUUUAUUCCAAUAGAAAUAAGCAAUGUUCAUGGAAGAUCUGCAACUAAUAUUUCCUACAAUAUCUAUUAAACAAUAAAGAGAUAAAAUUUUAAGUAUUGAGCUUAAAUUAUUUUUCUUGUUUUCUAGAAGAAGAACUUUACCUUGCAACUUCUUUAAAUUUUUUAUUGGUAAAAAAGUCCACGUAGCUGUAUUUUAAAAGAAAAAAAUAAAAAACAAGCCUGAUUUUUUUUUCUUUUUAGUUUGUUGCCACAUCAGCUUCUAGGGUGUAAAUAAAUUCACUUUUAAAUAGUAUAAGUGUGUAAUAGGUCGUUUCAAUAGUUUAGGUGUAAUUUCGACUUUUCGAAUAUAGUUUAGGAUAGAAAUGAUGAUUUUUCUCACUCAAAAUAUAAGACAUUUCAAUACGUGAGUAAGAUACACGAAUUUGAGCAUGGGGAUGUGUUAAACUUAGGAGGAUAGCAAUUUCACAUGAUUUAAUUCAUAACAUGGUGAUUUGACAUGGGAUGAAUUGAAUAUGACAUGAGUAAUUGAAAUUCAAAGCAUGAAGUAAUCUAAUUUACAUGGGAAAACAUGUUGACAUGGCUUGAAUUCGAAUUACUAAGAAAGAGCAUGGAUUAAAUUCAUCGUUGUCGCGCCCUAUUUCGAACCGAUCAAAACAACACACAACGUAUGGUGAUGUGUCGUGACUCUUGGGUUUUGAAAAUUCAGUUUUAGAGUCGCCACCUAAAUUUUUAGGAAAAUUAGGAAAAAUCAUUUUUUAUGUAGAAAACUCUAUUUUGGUCUAUCGAAAAUAUUUUGAGAUUCUGAGUAAGGAUUUGGGUUAUUCAAGGGAAAGGUGUUAGGCAUCCCUCAAAGCCUAUCCGAAGAUAGUUCUUAUGCUUAGUUUAGGAAAAAAUAGGAAAACUAUUAAUUCAUUAUUUGCGUAAUACGAUAAUAAAAAACUUUAUUAUUAUAUUUUAUUUGUUAUCUUGUAUAAAAGAAAGAAAACUUGAGGUACAACAAACGUUAUGCUACCACGAACAAGGGAAUAAUAUCAUUAUUGCAAAAUGUGCAUGUAUUUCAAAUGUAAAAUGGGUAUUAUGAUUCACACAUAUAUUUGAAGAGUGCACUAUUCUAUAAAGAAAUUUAGAAGUAUGCAAAGUUAAAAAUUAUUGUAGGGUAAAUGACAAUAUUUUUAUAAGAAUUUAUAUAUGAAAUGUGUAUUUUAGAGUAUGUAAAAAUAUGUGAAAAAUGGUUAAUAUGCAAGAAUUAUACACAGGAUAAUAGAUAAGUGUCGUAGUAUCGCGAGGGAGUUGUUUAAUCGAUAAUAGUAAUAAUAAUAAUAAUAAUAAUAAUAAUAAUAAUAAAAGAUAGUUAUUAUGAAAAUAAUACAAUAUACCUCACAUUUUCUUAAACCUAAAAACUGAAAAUUUGAGCGUUGAAAAGAUAAAAUAGCGUAAAAUGUUAAAAUUAUUUUAUAAAAAAUAAGUUAAAAUUAGCGGGUGGCCUUUUAGUAAAAUCUGAAUUUUAGUUAAUGCAUUUUCUUAUUAGAUUAGUUUUAAAUUUUUUAUUGUUAUAUUUUAGGAAAGAUGUGGAGGUUACUAUGCUACCGAUUAUGAUAAAAAUAUAUUUUUCUUAGCGACAACCAUGUGCUAUUUGUAAAAAUGUGAUAAAUUUAAUCCAUUUUUAAAGGUGAUUUGCAAAUGUUAGAAUAAUAUAUAAACACAAUAAUCAAAUAAUGACACUUUAAACAAUUUUAACAAAGAUAAGAAUACUCAAAUAUCAAUUCAAUUAUCAAAAACUACUUAUCACAUGACGUGGAUAAUAAGAAAAAAGAAAGGCUAAAGUGAUACUAGACUUCUAAAGGAGUUCAAACUUUAUUUCGCGCGAUUUCGAAGCUCUCGUGAUCCUAGUGGCGAUUGACCCAAUUAGUUGGAUUAAGACGAGUCCCGUUGCGGAACUCCCAACUCCCAAGAAUGUACAUGAAACAAAUAAAGGAUAAAAGUAAUGAUAUAAACAAACAUUUAGGGAUAUAUAUAUAUAUAUAUAUAUAUAUAUAUAUAUAUAUAUAUAUAUAUAUAUAUUUGGCCCAACGUUCGUCUGGACGAAAGAACAUAACAUACAACUGUAAGCGAACAAACAACUAUAUGCUUCUACUGCAAAAAAACCUGAGGUUCAGUAACUCUAAGGGGAGAAUAAAAGUAAAGACCCACAAUCCAUUUUCCCUAUAUAAAAAUUGAAGGACUCCAAGACAACUUUUAAAUAUUAAUUACUUAAACAAGAUCUUAGCCUUUAGUUUUUAUUACUAGUAUGAUAGUCUGGACCCAAUAAAAUACUAAAAAAAAUUAAAUAAAAGAGAAGCGCAAAUUAAUCAUUUGUUAAAUAACGAUCACUUAAAAUUAUUAAAAGAUCCAACAAAACAAUUUCAAAUAUGAGUUGGCAAACUUUGAUUACUACGCGGCAUUAUACAGAUGAACAUAACCGUAAAUCUGAUUGAUGCACAAACCUGUUAGGGGAGGGAGUUACAUUAUUCAAAUCUUAUUUUGGGCAGCAAACUAGAGCUUUCCGUCAAGGAUCCCGGCCACCAGAUUCACACUCCAAAAUUCGAACGGAGACUAUUUCUCGCCUCUUUCUCUCUGUUGUUUUCGAUCACCCACUUUUCUUGUUCUCCGUGGCCCUUUCUCCUAAUUUCCCCCCUUGUCCUCUAGGGUUGAAGAACACCCUAUUUAUAGACCAAAUUCGAACUUGAACAUUCGGUUUUGAAACCAAAAUUGAAGAAGGAAACCCAAUAUCGAGAUGGAUUUGAAUUUUUGAAUCCAAAUCUUAUUUGCAUCCUUAUCCCCGAAAUUGUGCUGACUCCACUGUUGCGCGGAUUUUUGGGGUGUAGAAGAUGGGUUGCGCAGGGAGUUGGUGAAACUUUGCAGACUAUGGUAUUGUUGUGUUAGUCGAGUGAUUUUGGACUGAUUUUGAUUCGUUCGAUCUUUUCGUUGGAUGAUCCUAAAGAGAUUACCCUUAAGAAUAAUAGUAAAAAAAUAAGAAAAAGAAAAAUGUAUGUAUACAUGGAUAAAUAUAUAGAAA
This 5629-nucleotide long non-coding RNA is filed under the name Capsicum annuum. Its description in RNAcentral is "long non-coding RNA (CANN_LNC000564)". Lineage: Eukaryota; Viridiplantae; Streptophyta; Magnoliopsida; Solanales; Solanaceae. The record is from RNAcentral.